This 73-nucleotide transfer RNA is filed under the name Erysipelothrix larvae. It matches the Rfam family "tRNA". From Rfam's summary of the family: Transfer RNA (tRNA) molecules are approximately 80 nucleotides in length. The record is from Rfam by way of RNAcentral. Lineage: Bacteria; Bacillati; Bacillota; Erysipelotrichia; Erysipelotrichales; Erysipelotrichaceae.
GCCGACGUAGCUCCAACGGUAGAGCAAUCCACUCGUAAUGGAUAGGUUGCCAGUUCGAAUCUGGCCGUCGGCA